Psammomys obesus (fat sand rat) is the source of this 2328-nucleotide long non-coding RNA. RefSeq lists it as uncharacterized. The transcript has 3 exons. Lineage: Eukaryota; Metazoa; Chordata; Mammalia; Rodentia; Muridae. The record is from RefSeq and is a predicted model, not a curated record.
UCCAUCCUGGAAGGAGUUUAAGGCAGCUGGCCACAUGUGUCUGCAGCCAGGGGGCCAGAAUCAGAGGGAUACCUUUCUCCUUUGUGUUCAUCCAAGACCCCAGACACAGGAUGGUUCCACCCACAUCAGAAGCUCCCUUACAGACAAGCCCAGUGUGGUGUUUCCAUGGUGAUUCAGAAUCUUAACACAUUGACAAUCAAGAUUAUCAUACCUACGGACAGUCUCUAAAACAGGCCUGGAUUGUCAAAAGUCCCUUGCCUGAGAAUCUUAUUCAGCAGGUUAAAGGGAGUAAUCAUACCACCGGGGAAAUCUGAAGGUUGACACCACAGACUUUGCUUUGGGCUGCCACUAUACCCAUGGGUCCUGCUUUGUUUUGUAGAGGUUUCACAUAGCCCAGACUAGCCUAGAAUUCAGUCUAUAGUUGAGGCUGGCCUUGACAUCCUGAUCCUCCUUGCCUCCACCUCCCAAGUGCUGGGAUUACAGGCAUACACCACCACUCCUAGUUCUGAGGGACAAUCUAUAUGACUGGACUGACUCUAUCGACAGAACGACACAACGAGCACCCCUGCUCACUGUGUUGCUCCCCUCAUCUUCCCAUAGCGGUCUUCAGUAAUUCCCUGAAGCCCAAGCCUGUUCCUUAUAGCUACAUAAAAAUCAGUCAUGAGGUCCCUCUUGGAAUGUGUUUGCUGUCAUACUCCCAUACAUAAGCAUGGUGUUAAAAUAGAUUUUCUUCUUUAAUCUGGCUACUGAGUUUGUUUUAUGAACUCAAACAUCAAGAGGGCAAGGGAUGAUUUUCUUUAGCAAUUUUUUUUUUUAAUUGAUUUUUCAAGACAGGGUUUCUCGUUGUAGCCUUGGCUGUCCUGAAGCUUGGCUCUGUAGACCAGGCUGGUUUUGAACUCAUGAAGAUCUGCCUGUUUUUAUCUUCCAAGAUCUGGGAUUAAAGGCAUGAACCAUCAUAGCCUAGUCAGGAUUAACUAAUAUUUCUCCCUCUCCAUCUACUCAGUGGCAGGUACAAAAGCGGCAACCAUUCUUGAACCUCCUAACAGAAGCACUUGGAGAGACAGACAAAAGACAGACAAAAACAGGGUCCUUCUGAGACCUCGGAUUUUGAUGCUGAAAUACCCAUUGAAUUUGCAUGUCACCCCAACUCCACUAUUUUGCUAACAUUCCCACCUUCCCCUGGGGUAAGGCAAGCCCCACAGAGCCACCUGCCUUCAUGGUGGUGGGAUUCCCCAAGACUAACAUUUCUUCCCUUUUGAAGCAGUCUUCAGAAGUCAGGUCUCAGGUGGCAGAGGAUUUUCACAGGCAAUGAGGUGGACAGUCGUGGCCCGGGGCCAGCAUCUCUCUCACCUGCUGUCAGGAAGGCUUGUGGAGUGGGGAAGGACUCACUUAAGCUGCAGUCUGACCAAAAGGAGAGUGUCCAGAGGGCCUCAUUGACAGCUCAAGAGAGCAGACAACCAGCAUAUUCUGAACAUCUGCCAGGAGGCAAGAAUUCAGCAGGUCAUAAAGCCUCGCAAAUAUCUGACCACCCCACAAAGCAAAGAUCACAGAGAUGUAGUGCUUUCCUCCAUGUACUUGGGCUGGACAAGUUUGCCUUGGCUCUGUUCACUAAAGCCUUCCCCAGCAUCAUAUAGUUUAUUACAAUUUAUUCAGUUUGUAUGCCUGCUGUGGCCCCCUCAUCUCCUCCCAAUCCCCCUCUCCCUUCCUCUUCUCCCCCUAUGCCCCUCCCCUAGUAUCCUUCUAUUUGACCCUAGCCUAUCAGGUCUCAUCAGGAUUGGUUGUACUGUCUUCCUCUGUGGCCUGGCAAGGCUGCACCCCCCAGGGGGGAGGUGAUGAGAGCCUACCACUGAGUUCAUGCCAGAGAAAGCCCCUGCUUUCCUUACUAGGAACCCCACUUGAAGGCUACAUCUGAGCCAGGGUUUUACCAGAAGCAGAAAGACACACAUGGUAUACGCUCACUCAUAAAUGGAUAUUAGCCAUGUAAUAUAGGAUAAACAUGUUAAAAUCUAUACUCCUAAAGAAGCUAAACAAGGAAGACCCUGGAAGAUGCUCAAUCCUCAUUCAGAAGGGCAAAUGUGAUAGACAUCAGAAGCAGAAGACAGGGAAUAGGACAAAAGCCUACCACAGAUGGCCUCUGAAAGACUCUACUGAUCGAGGGCAUCAGCUACUGACCUGGCAAGCGACCAAGGCCAGACUGCACCUUCUGUCUUAGCAAGGACAAUAUGCCUGGGAGGCUGACUUGCCCAAGACCAUUCAAUCCUUGGAGAAUGCAUGCCUGAGGAUGUCAUCGUGUAGCACCUACCACCUCUCACCCCAACAGAGCCCAUG